CGGGAGCCACUGGGGCCAAAGUGAGAGUCCAGCGGUCUUCCAGCGCUUGGGCCACGGCGGCGGCCCUGGGAGCAGAGGUGGAGCGACCCCAUUACGCUAAAGAUGAAAGGCUGGGGUUGGCUGGCCCUGCUUCUGGGGGCCCUGCUGGGAACCGCCUGGGCUCGGAGGAGCCAGGAUCUCCACUGUGGAGGUAAAGGCACAACGGGAAAAAGAAGUGGAGGAAGCAGAGCCUUGGGAGGGCAUGAGAUCCAAGGCCUGGGAGAAGGAUGAAUGGAAAUCCUGGGUUGAUCCCAUUCUCCUCACACCCUACCCCCUACCCUGUCCCCUGCUCUCAUUCUCUCCUCUUCCACCAGCAUGCAGGGCUCUGGUGGAUGAACUAGAAUGGGAAAUUGCCCAGGUGGACCCCAAGAAGACCAUUCAGAUGGGAUCUUUCCGGAUCAAUCCAGAUGGCAGCCAGUCAGUGGUGGAGGUAACUGUUACUGUUCCCCCAAACAAAGUAGCUCACUCUGGCUUUGGAUGAAAUUCGACUGCUUAAAAAGGACCUUGGUUUAAUAGAAAUGAAGAAAACAGACUCAGAAAAAAGAUUUGGCUCUGUCUCAUUUGGAAGAAGCUGCAGGCUUAUUCCCCAUGCACUUGCUUCCUGGCUGCAAACCUUAAUACUUUGUUUCUG
This 670-nucleotide long non-coding RNA is filed under the name Homo sapiens (human). Its description in RNAcentral is "non-protein coding lnc-PAN2-1:2". The record is from RNAcentral. Lineage: Eukaryota; Metazoa; Chordata; Mammalia; Primates; Hominidae.